GUGGGGAAUAUUCCGCAAUGGACGAAAGUCUGACGGAGCAACGCCGCGUGAGUGAUGAAGGUUUUCGGACUGUAAAGCUCUGUUGUUUAGGACGAAAGUGCCUGUUGCAAAUAGUUACAGGUAUUGACGGUACUGAACGAGGAAGCCACGGCUAACUACGUGCCAGCAGCCGCGGUAAUACGUAGGUGGCAAGCGUUGUCCGGAAUUAUUGGGCGUAAAGAGCAUGUAGGCGGGAAUCUAAGUCUGUUGUGAAAAUGCGGGGCUCAACCCCGUAUUGCGAUGGAAACUGGGUUUCUUGAGUGCAGGAGAGGAAAGGGGAAUUCCCAGUGUAGCGGUGAAAUGCGUAGAUAUCGGGAGGAACACCAGUGGCGAAGGCGGCUUCCUGGCACAAUACUGACGCUCAUGUGCGAAAGCUAGGGCAGCGAACGGGAUUAGAAACCCCGGUAGUCC
RNAcentral lists this ribosomal RNA (450 nucleotides) under uncultured bacterium. RNAcentral's name for it is "partial 16S ribosomal RNA". It matches the Rfam family "Bacterial small subunit ribosomal RNA", at positions 354 to 796 of the family's 1533-position model. The record is from RNAcentral.